RNAcentral lists this long non-coding RNA (1241 nucleotides) under Homo sapiens (human). Its description in RNAcentral is "long non-coding RNA NONHSAT001702.2". Lineage: Eukaryota; Metazoa; Chordata; Mammalia; Primates; Hominidae. The record is from RNAcentral.
UGAGCUCUAAGUACCCGCGGUCUGUCCGGCGCUGCCUGCCCCUCUGGGCCCUAACACUGGAAGCAGCUCUCAUUCUCCUCUUCUAUUUUUUUACCCACUAUGACGCUUCCUUAGAGGAUCAAAAGGGGCUCGUGGCAUCCUAUCAAGUGGCCAAGAUCUGACCGUGAUGGCGGCCAUUGGCUUGGGCUUCCUCACCUCGAGUUUCCGGAGACACAGCUGGAGCAGUGUGGCCUUCAACCUCUUCAUGCUGGCGCUUGGUGUGCAGUGGGCAAUCCUGCUGGACGGCUUCCUGAGCCAGUUCCCUUCUGGGAAGGUGGUCAUCACACUGUUCAGAUUCGGCUGGCCACCAUGAGUGCUUUGUCGGUGCUGAUCUCAGUGGAUGCUGUCUUGGGGAAGGUCAACUUGGCGCAGUUGGUGGUGAUGGUGCUGGUGGAGGUGACAGCUUUAGGCAACCUGAGGAUGGUCAUCAGUAAUAUCUUCAACCAGACUACCACAUGAACAUGAUGCACAUCUACGUGUUCGCAGCCUAUUUUGGGCUGUCUGUGGCCUGGUGCCUGCCAAAGCCUCUACCCGAGGGAACGGAGGAUAAAGAUCAGACAGCAACGAUACCCAGUUUGUCUGCCAUGCUGGCGCCCUCUUCUUGUGGAUGUUCUGGCCAAGUUUCAACUCUGCUCUGCUGAGAAGUCCAAUCGAAAGGAAGAAUGCCGUGUUCAACACCUACUAUGCUGUAGCAGUCAGCGUGGUGACAGCCAUCUCAGGGUCAUCCUUGGCUCACCCCCAAGGGAAGAUCAGCAAGCUUAUGUGCACAGUGCGGUGUUGGCAGGAGGCGUGGCUGUGGGUACCUCGUGUCACCUGAUCCCUUCUCCGUGGCUUGCCAUGGUGCUGGGUCUUGUGGCUGGGCUGAUCUCCGUCGGGGGAGCCAAGUACCUGCCGGGUGUUGUAACCGAGUGCUGGGGAUUCCCCACAGCUCCAUCAUGGGCUACAACUUCAGCUUGCUGGGUCUGCUUGGAGAGAUCAUCUACAUUGUGCUGCUGGUGCUUGAUACCGUCGGAGCCGGCAAUGGCAUAUUGGCUUCCAGGUCCUCCUCAGCAUUGGGGAACUCAGCUUGGCCAUCGUGAUAGCUCUCAUGUCUGGUCUCCUGACAGUUUGCUCCUAAAUCUUAAAAUAUGGAAAGCACCUCAUGAGGCUAAAUAUUUUGAUGACCAAGUUUUCUGGAAGUUCCUCAUUUGGCUGUUGGAUUU